This 117-nucleotide ribosomal RNA is filed under the name Chloroflexota bacterium. Lineage: Bacteria; Bacillati; Chloroflexota. The record is from RNAcentral.
CCUGGUGAUUAUUGCGGUGAGGUCACACCCGGUCCCAUCCCGAACCCGGAAGUUAAGCUCGCCAGCGCCGAUGGUACUUGGGGGGUAGCCCCCUGGGAGAGUAGGUCAUUGCCAGGG